Pelobates cultripes (western spadefoot toad) is the source of this 263-nucleotide non-coding RNA. The record is from the annotation of a GenBank genome assembly. Lineage: Eukaryota; Metazoa; Chordata; Amphibia; Anura; Pelobatidae.
ACAUGUUAUGUCCUGGCAGACAGUCUAUUAUAGAUACUGUGAGAUUAUAUAACAGCAGGACAAUGAUAACUUUCUCUCAGAUCGAAUCCUUGUUACAGCUAGCAGUGUUAGACAUUGGGAGCUGUGUGUUUUGUGUCACUGUUUACCCAUAACAAAGAUGGUGUCCCCGGUGUGGGCUGUCAGGCUAGGUAACAAGCAGUGACAGGGCACGGACUGUGUAACCUAGAGGACAAUGAUGCGGCUCUUCUGCUGGUGGUCAGGGC